AAAAUGUCCACAGACCAGAAAAACAACAGCAUCAGUCAUUUGUUUUUGUCCCUUAUUUUUUCAAAGUGAUCUGUGUUAACAUUUUCUUUACUUGUCAGCUUUAAACGAUGAAUCCUCUGUAACUCUGAACAAACCAGCGUCAACUUCAUCAAACUUUAACCAGAAAUGUCUCCGAAAACAUCAGAACAUUUUUAACAGUUUAUGAACAGUGUUGUCUCCUCUGUGGAGAUGACAGAAGACAAAGACACACAAACUAAACUACUCUCUGUUUUCUCCAUCAGGGGAAACAUCUAUACAACCACACUUUGGUAAGUACCUGCACAGGUGUUUCCAGUCACUCUCAGUCCUGAUUAAACCUCAGCUCACAGCUCUUCAUCCACAGACUCAGGAAGAUGAAGAAACUGAAUCUCUUCAGGUGUGAUUAUAUGGUGACAAAGUGAAAAAAUGACUGAUUAGCCCUUUAAAACGUCAUCUCUGAGAGUCUGUGUUCAGAGCCAAGAUAAAACCAAAGCUUCAGAGUUUCUGAUUCAUUUCACUUCAACCUGCACAGCUUCAUUAUUAACGUCAGGGGAUUUUGUUUUUUAAAGGCGGCUCGGUCCGUCUGAGAGUCCAGACUGGACCUGGAGGACGGUGUUAACAUCAGAGAGAAACUCCUGACAAACGGCUUCACACCUUUUCAUCGAGUCUGUGUGGAGGUAAAGUACCUGCAGACAGCUGAAAACAUGGACGCCUCUGGUUCCUGUCUUUGCUCAAUGGACUCCUCUGUUCCUCUGGAAAUAAAGGAUGAGAGGUUACAGACUGUCCACCCUGCACUCCAUCAUCCUCUCAACACUGGAACAGAUAGAAAACACACGGACACACUGGAAGUAUUCAGUAUCUCUGAGUCCUCAUUUUUAUUUGAACGAUCGAACAUCGACUCUUAACUUUUCAUCUUUUCUCAGUGAAUAUUUACAUCUGUAACUCAGUGUCGCAGCAGUUUGUGAAAUGGUUCUGAAAUUGAUUCUGUUGAUUCGUGUUCGUGGACAUUUUUAGUGACACUCGGCACAACUCUCAAACUCCGAGUCUGAAGGAGACAGGAGACAAAGUAUGGUCACACCAGAAACCAGGUUCGUGUCCAGAGUCCUGUCUGUGUAUCUUUUACUCGCACUGUAACACGUACAGCCCAUGUUCGCGUCGUCUCCGUGACUUCUUCCUAUGUUUUCUUUUCUCUACAUGAAUUUUCUGAUUAAAAAAAGUCCACGAACCACCAUCUUCGGUUCCUCCUGCUCGUCGCCCACCAUGUUUGUUUCCUCUGACGUGGUCAGAUGUGGAGUUGUGAGAGUCCUGCACAUCACACACGAUAAAAAUCUUUUCUUGUGAGCCAGGCUUGUGUCUGAAGUCACCGUGACCAGGAUCUUUCCUUGUACCUGAACCACGAGCUGUGAGUGAGUCUCACGAAAUGAUUUUAUGACAGACAUUUACAGCUUGAGAAAUAGUCCCAACAUUUAUUUUAUUGGUUCAUUUAUUCUUCAUGAGGAGGAAUUGUUCAUUUUUUCGUGACAGUAAAAUAUCCACUUGUAGUGAUGAGUUGUCACCAUGAGGACGGAGGUUUAGGGUGCAGCCUUCAGAGACUUCUCCGCCCACACAUCAUUUGUAUGGUUCUGUUAAACAAAUCUUGAACAUAUUUAAUUGAAGACUUCAUGAUGAACAACGCAGUUUGGCUGCAGGACAAACUGUUUAACUCUUUGCCAGUGUGGUCAGAAAAUAACAUCUAAAGUCGUGACACAGAUGAAGUGACAUUCAGCAGCAACACGUCGUCUCUGCUCCCAGAAAUAACAAAUCUUUGUGUUUUACUGUUUGUUUUGGGGCGACGUGUUUCGAGUUAUAUCCACUGGUUAUCAACAGGAGGAAAAUCUGGGAUAAAUCACUGCCUUUAAAAACCGCUUAAUCAAACGAAUGAAUGAAAAUGCAGCAUGAACUGUGUUUCCAGCAGAGGACGUCACACUGGCAGGAAAACAUGACUGAUAACUGAUAUUUGUUAAACAGCCAGUGUCAGUCUGAAGUUUUGGUCUCAAACCAGGAAAAACUCAUCGAUCUCACAGCUGCUGAUUGAUCCUGACUGAUUUCAUGACACUCUGAUCAUUUCUGCCAUCACGAAGCAGGUCAGAGAUUUACGCAGCAGCUGAUAUUGGAUCAGCAGUCCUGCUGGAUCUGCGUCUACCCCCUCAGGUUCAUUCGGUCAGGGUGAAUGAUGAACACCUCGGCAGCAGGAAACAAACCAUUCAUCGUGCGGAGAUCCCGUAAAACACAUCCAGUGACAGGAAGUGGGAGGAUCUGCUGCAGGUAUUUAAACUGUAGGAGCUUUGUCUGUGUGUGAGUCUGAGAACGUGAAGAAAAUCAUUUGAGGAAGGUGUUUACUUCAGGUAGACGAGUGAGAUGGAGUUUUCUCAGGCCUGCAGCCCGCACACGAUUCAGGACGGAAAACACCUCCAGUCUAAAACCAUUUAUCACACAAGGAACAGAAUUUAAAUAAUAAAGCGUAGAUUUUCUUUCAAAGUUCAACAGUAAAGUAGCAGAUUUCCCUUAAAAACACACUAAUAAAUAAAACUACGUGUUGUGGUCUUCAGUUCAAUUUAAACUCAAAUAGAGAAAGUCUCCAGGUUCACAGCUGUUUCCACUGAUGAGCUCCUCUCCUCUGACUGAAGGGGAGUUAAUCAGUGGAUUCAGCUCACCUGUGGCUGCAGCAAAACCCUGCAGAUCCUCAGAGCAACAAAGACAAAGGGAUAAUAAUCUGAACAGGAUUCAAACUCAGCUCCAAGCAACAACUCUAAGAUGAUUCUGUUUUGGCAGCUCAUCCAUGUAAAAGUAUUUUUCUGGGCUCAGUGAUGACACAGUUAACAAAACAAGACAUUUACCAUAAGGUGCAAAAGGACGAUGCCAAGUGUCAAAACUUCAUGGACUCUUGAGAUGGAGUGGUGGUGGUAAAUGAGCAUUGAAACUGUACUAAUGUUUUGCUCUUUGACCAAAACUUUGCUCCAUGACAACGUAUCACAUAUUAAUGAAAUUCAAAGUGGACAUUCCUGUUUCUCAGAGGAUGAACUUCUAUGACCGGUCCUCUAGCGCCACCAUCAGGACAAACUGUUUAACUACAGUGGAAAUCAGGAUCAGGCUUCAGAUUUUAUCUGCUGAGUUACAUUCAGUCUUCCUGGAAUCUGGACUCUGGUCUAAAUGUUCUCCUGUAGUUUUCUCUGACUCUUAUCUGCCCUCAUCAGUCUCUUUGUUAUAAACCCUUCACUCAUGUUCCCGUCUUCAUACGACUCGUUCGCACUACGUGUCCCACGAUGACAUGUUGUCAGGAGUCAGCAGAGUCUCAGCAUCCUGGAGCCCGAGUCUGGGAGUCUGAGCCUCUCCCUGCUCACAAUCAAAACAAGGAAGAGGAGCUUUCAGCGCACGGCUCCACACCCAGAGAGAGUAACCCGAGCUGGGGUGGAUCACACACACGGCGUCCUGGAGCCUGGAGGACGGGUGGAAGAGUGAACACCGUGUUUCCUUACAAGUCUGCGGAGGAAAGCACACACAGAUAAGAAGAGAGUAAAUCUACUGGGUGAUAAAGUGGGCGGCACUGGAAGGCAGAAAGACGCCAGGUGAACUGCAUGGAGUCUACAUGUUCUCCCUGCUUGGGUUCAGCUUCCUCCCACAGUCCAAACACAUGCAGAUACGAUGACUUGUCGUCUCAGCAUCUCACAGUCCUGAGACGACCAGCACCAGAGUUCACCAGAGUUCACCAGACUUCACCAGGGUUCACCAGGUUCACCAUCGUCCAUCGUCCGGACAGUCUGACUGAUCGUCGUGUUAAAUUUAGAGAUUUAUGUGUUUAAAGGAAUCUGAGAACUAAACACAAACAGACACUUGUGGGAUUUAAAUACUAAACUCACUCAUUCAUAAUUUUCUCUUUCUUAUAAAGACUCUAAAUGUGAGGGAAAAGAAAGGGAAAUAUUAUGCGAUUAGAAAUGAAAUAACUUAAAUACACAACAGGAGCCACAUCAGAGGUUUUAAAAAAGUCAAACUUCAGUGAUAAAUAACUAUUUUAACUGAUCAGUUAAUAAUCUGUGAACUGAUCGCUGAUUAAAAUAUGGCAAACAAAAUAAAACAAAAACAUCUUGUGGAUUUUAGUUUGAAUUAAAAAUAAUUUGACAUGAAGUCGUCCUCAGUUCACCACAUCACCAUCAUUUAAUAUUUGAGUGAGUUCAUAACGAGGCAGGAAACACAGACUUCCUGCUCUCAGGUAGAGCAGGUAUUUCAAAAUAAAGUACGAGUGUUCAGAUGAAUAAUUCAUCCAUCAGGGAGAGGAGGAGGAGGGGGCGAAGAGUUACGAGGGGUUGGAGAGGAACACGGACAGAUUCAUUACACCGUGAUGAUUUCUGCUCUCACAUCAGGAAAACAGCCAAAGAACAUAGUUUGAAGUGUUUUUCUUUUCUUUGGACAGUCGGAGCUCUGUCCUCACUCUGAGUCCUCUUAUUAAAACUGAGGGAAUUCAAAGCCUCUCAACCCGUUUGUUAAAUCUCUCGGGGGUGGGUGGGGUCGUCACAAAUAAAAAUAGAAGGACGGGAUUUUUUUACGAGAAGUCUCAGUAUCAGAGUGAACAGAUGAGCUCAUUAGGACGAGAUCCUGGAGGAUAAGUUUAGAGAUUAAAACUUGAGCCGGUGCUUCAGUUGUUUGGGGAAGAGUCUCAGCGGUCCUCACUAAUGGACCCCUCCCUCUGUCACUGUUAUCAGGAAAUCAGUUUCUCUGGUUGGUUUCUAUUAAAAACUCAAAGAGAGCCCAGGCUUAUCUGGACACAAAUAACAUGAUUCAAAGACUAAUUAUAUCCUCGGAUUUCUCGUCAGCUC
Long non-coding RNA from Lates calcarifer (barramundi perch), 4868 nucleotides. RefSeq lists it as uncharacterized. Lineage: Eukaryota; Metazoa; Chordata; Actinopteri; Centropomidae. The record is from RefSeq and is a predicted model, not a curated record. The transcript has 3 exons.